GGAAGAUACUUGAAUCACAGGACUGAAUAAGGAAGAGCUGCCCUCAGCGUGGCCGGGCAACAUCUAAUCGGCUGAAAGCUUGGAUCGAAUGAAAAGGCAGAGGAAAGGUGAAUUUUCUUUUUAUCCUGGAGCUGGACACCCUGUUUCUCCUGCCUGUGGACAUCAGAAUUCUAGGCUCUGUGGCAUUUCAACUGUAAAACUUGCACUAGUAGCCAGCUGGUUUCUCAAGUCGUUGGCUUCAAAACUGAGAAGUACAGCAUUCUCUUCCCAGGUUCUGAAGACCUCAAAUGGACUGAGCCACACUACCAGCAUCCAGCAUCCAUGGUUCUCCAGUCUGCAGAUGGCCUAUUAUGGGACUUUUCAGUCUUCAUAAUUAUAUGAGAGAAAGAAAAUGAAAAGGAUUUGUAAACUAUAAAUCUCUAAACAGAUGGGAGGAAAGGAAUUGAUGAAACAAUAAAUUUAUUGAUGAAACAAUAAAAAUAAACAUAAAGAACCAAAGUUAUUCUCACAAUCACCACUCCUAACUUUUGAUGCUCCUGUCCAGAAAACUGAGCAAAAGAGUGGCUGAAGAAUAGGAAUGAUGAAGAGAAGAAGUAAAAACACCUGAUUGAGUUAAAGGAGCUGUGGAAUAAAAAAAACAAAAACAAAAACAAAACAAAAAAACAGGCUAAGCUAGGAAGGGAAAGGCAUUUUACCCGCUCUCUCAGCGAGUCAGCCUAAAUACCGUGAGGUGAAGGGUCAGAACACUGGGAAGUGCAGUUUCUGACGAAGAAGGAGCAGCUGCAGAGAAAGGAGUCCAUCUAGGGCCAUUUCCAUCAUGAAGAGAAUGUGGCCAAAACAUGGGGCAGAGAAUCAGGAACCCAGGUGAUGCCUCAUAUGGUGUCUUCCUUGGUGUUUGAAUUAUUUAACACAAGCUGCCUCACCCACCUUACAAUGUAAGUAGGAUUAAACAGAGCUGGCCAGAGCACUGAAGGGAUACCUAACUGCCCAGGGGAAAGGUGAUGCACAGAGGGGCCUUGGGAUUGAGAGCUAUUAAGUAGCAGUUCCAGAAAGGUCUGUUCCAAGAAAUGCCACAGCUUGUAUUAAAAACUCCCUCCUUGUUCCCUG
This 1107-nucleotide long non-coding RNA is filed under the name Homo sapiens (human). RNAcentral's name for it is "HSALNT0312130". The record is from RNAcentral. Lineage: Eukaryota; Metazoa; Chordata; Mammalia; Primates; Hominidae.